GGAAAAGAUCGUUUGCAAAACUGACUAGUAAAACAGACAUUUGUGCAAUAACAAUAAAAACAGCAGCCUAGGUAUAAUCAGUAAACCUAAUCAAGUUGGUUUCGCAGGAAUCUUGGAACCAUCAAUUAACUAGUUCUAUAUUUUGAAGAUGCAUCGACUGUCUUUUUUAUCUAUCAUUUCUUUGGCGGCGGUUCAAACUACGCUUUGGGAAGCAUCUGCAUGGCCGCUAAUCAACCAAUACGAUCUCUCACAACUCUUCCUGCACAUAUGGGAAAACUCUGACACAAGAGAGAUUUCUGUUUCGACAGCUGCACCCUAUAUGGAGAACAACGGAUUAGGACCCCUUGACACAAUUCCACGUGUCGUAAGCCCAUAUAAAAAAGCACCGUUCGCAAAGCGAUUCCAAAUUGGCGGAACAGUUCCAAAAAUGGAGUUCGGAGCAUUCCAAAACCGACAAAAAAAGUCCGACGAAGUUACCAAGCGGAGCAAUCUGUCAUUCCUGGUAAAAGCCGAACCACUUAACGGAGACUUCGCUACAAUUUCGCUGCGCACAAUGGAGAACAAAAACUUGGAGUCUCACUGACCGAUAGCUACAAUUUUUUCAGAGCUGAGCAAAAAAUAUCGGAAGACAAAAAACAUCUGAAGACUAAAAAAGCGACAAAAAUAUGGAAAUAAAGCGCCAACGCACAAUCAUGAUUACACGAGGAUAUCACUAAUUCAAGGCGUUCAUAAUAGGGUUGAUGUUAUUUUUUUGACCUUGAUGAUAUAUCAGCCUACCCCUGAAUGUAAUAUGCAAGCAAAAAGUACCAGCCUACCCCUGAAUGUAAUCUGUAAUCA
Molecule: long non-coding RNA, 837 nt
Organism: Symsagittifera roscoffensis
Lineage: Eukaryota; Metazoa; Xenacoelomorpha; Acoela; Convolutidae
Exons: 3
Source: RefSeq, a predicted model, not a curated record